This 253-nucleotide ribosomal RNA is filed under the name uncultured bacterium. RNAcentral describes it as "partial 16S ribosomal RNA". It matches the Rfam family "Bacterial small subunit ribosomal RNA", at positions 524 to 776 of the family's 1533-position model. The record is from RNAcentral.
GACGGGGGAUGCAAGCGUUAUCAGGAAUCACUGGGCGUAAAGCGUCUGUAGGUGGUGAUGCAAGUCAAUGGUGCAAAACUCUGGCUCAACAGGAGGAAAGCAAGUGAAACUGCAUGACUAGAGUGUGGGAGAGGUAGAAGGAAUUCCCUGAGUAGCGGUGAAAUGCGUAGAUACAGGGAAGAACACCGGAGGCGAAAGCGUUCUACUGGAACACAACUGACACUGAGAUACGAAAGCUAGGGGAGCGAAUGGG